RNAcentral lists this long non-coding RNA (307 nucleotides) under Gossypium barbadense (sea-island cotton). RNAcentral's name for it is "long non-coding RNA (GBAR_LNC021264)". Lineage: Eukaryota; Viridiplantae; Streptophyta; Magnoliopsida; Malvales; Malvaceae. The record is from RNAcentral.
ACGGUUGCAAGAUAUGGCAUUGGAAGAAUGGGAGGUGUCUGGAUCAGCAAGGUAUGAAACCCCUUCUCCAUUUCAAUUUCCUUCAAUCUAAUUUAAUUACACAUUCAUUUUUGUCUUUUAAAACAUAAAAUUGCAGAUAAGGAGACGUCACUAACCUUUGUUCCCACAUAGCUUUGGUUUGCGGUCACCGUUCCUAUAUUUAUUUGUUAGCUUUGCUUUCUCUUUGUUUUUUUUUCCCUACUUAAGUCUGCUCGAGUCUUUUUCUUCUUUUAUAUGUACUUAAUGUAAUAGUAGAAGCCAAGGCAGG